UGAUUCGCGUAUCGANGAAAAACGCANCNANNUGCGUUAUUUNCCACGAAUUGCAGGCGCUUAGAGUGGUGAAAUUUUGAACGCAUAGCGCCGUUGGGUUUUCCCUUCGGCACGUCUGGUUCAGGGUUGUU
RNAcentral lists this ribosomal RNA (131 nucleotides) under Necator sp. HH-2015. RNAcentral's name for it is "partial 5.8S rRNA". It matches the Rfam family "5.8S ribosomal RNA", at positions 22 to 154 of the family's 154-position model. Rfam says of the family: 5.8S ribosomal RNA (5.8S rRNA) is a component of the large subunit of the eukaryotic ribosome. It is transcribed by RNA polymerase I as part of the 45S precursor that also contains 18S and 28S rRNA. The record is from RNAcentral. Lineage: Eukaryota; Metazoa; Nematoda; Chromadorea; Rhabditida; Ancylostomatidae.